This 2117-nucleotide ribosomal RNA is filed under the name human gut metagenome. RNAcentral's name for it is "bacterial LSU rRNA". It matches the Rfam family "Bacterial large subunit ribosomal RNA", at positions 1 to 2114 of the family's 2925-position model. The record is from RNAcentral.
AUAAGAUAUCAAGGGCAACAGGUGAAUGCCUUGGCGCUGAGAGGCGAUGAAAGACGCGGUAAGCUGCGAUAAGCAUCGGGGAGGAGCUAAACAUCCUACGAUCCGAUGAUUUCUGAAUGGGGAAACCCGAUGGGAGUCAUGUCCCAUCAUCCUGAGCUGAAUAUAUAGGCCCAGAGAAGCCAACCCGGGGAAGUGAAACAUCUCAGUACCCGGAGGAAGAGAAAUCAAACGAGACUCCCAAAGUAGCGGCGAGCGAAAUGGGAAGAGCCCAAACCGAGUGGUUUCGACCAUUCGGGGUUGUAGGGCCGGCAUACGCGAUUCUGGAGUAGGCAGAGGAAGUGAGCUGGAAAGCUCCGCCACAGCGGGUGAUAGCCCCGUACUCAAAACCGAAAAGGACGCAGCCGGUACCUGAGUACUGCGAGGCACGUGGAACCUCGUGGGAAUCUAGGGGGACCAUCCUCUAAGGCUAAGUACUCCUCAGCGACCGAUAGUGAACUAGUACCGUGAGGGAAAGGUGAAAAGAACCCCUGUUAGGGGAGUGAAAUAGAAUCUGAAACCUGUUGCCUACAAGCUGCGAGAGCUACUUCGGUAGUGAUCGCGUGCCUUUUGUAUAAUGAGUCAGCGAGUUACUCUACCGUGCGAGGUUAAGCGAAAGCGUAGCCGUAGUGAAAGCGAGGCUUAAUAGGCCGACUAGUACGUUGGAGUAGACCCGAAACCGGGUGAUCUAUCCAUGAGCAGGUUGAAGCAAGGGUAAAGCCUUGUGGAGGACCGAACCGUCAACGGCUGAAAACGUUCCGGAUGACUUGUGGAUAGGGGUGAAAGGUCAAUCAAACCCGGUGAUAGCUGGUUCUCCCCGAAAUAUAUUGAGGUAUAGCCUCGGGAAUUGAUUAGCGGAGGUAAAGCACUGACAGAGCUAGGGGUCCUACCAGAUUACCAAACUCUAUCAAACUCAGAAUGCCGCUUAAUCGUAUCCCGGGAGUCAGACGGCGGGUGCGAAGGUUCGUCGUCAAAAGGGAAACAGCCCAGACCAACAGCUAAGGUCUCCAAAUCCAUGCUCAGUGGUGAAGGUAGUGGAACCGUUUAGACAGCCAGGACGUUGGCUUAGAAGCAGCCAUCGUUUAAAGAAAGCGUAAUAGCUCACUGGUCUAAUGGCUCUGCGCCGAAAAUGUAACGGGGCUAAGCAUGGUACCGAAGCUUUGGCAAUCCCCUUUGGGGAUUGGGUAGGGGAGCGUUCGCUGCGGGCUGAAGGUGUGCCGGAAGGCAUGCUGGACUGCAGUGAAGUGAUUAUGCUGACAUGAGUAACGAUAAAAUAUGUGAAAAACAUAUUCGCCGAAAACCCGAGGUUUCCUGGGUAAAGGUAAUCUUCCCAGGGUUAGUCGGAUCCUAAGGUGAGGGUGAAAGCCGUAACCGAUGGAAAACAGGUUAAUAUUCCUGUACUUGUUGUGUAGCGCGAUGGAGGGACGCAGGAAGAUAGGCGGGCCGGGUGUUGGAUAUCCCGGUGCAAGCGUGUAGGAAUAUCCGGUAGGCAAAUCCGCCGGACGAAUCUGAGACGCGAGUCCGUGGGCGCAAGCCCUGAAGCCGUUGAGUCUAUGCUGCCUAGAAAAGCUCCUAAGUUUAUCCACAGCAAUCCGUACCGCAAACCAACUCAGGUGGGUGGGAUGAACAAUCCAAGGCGCUCGAGAGAACUCUGGCCAAGGAACUCGGCAAAAUAACCCCGUAACUUCGGAAGAAGGGGUGCUCUCUAGGGUGACAUGUUUAACAUAUGAAGCCCCGGGGAGCCGCAGUGAAUUGGUGGUGGCGACUGUUUACUAAAAACAUAGGUCUGUGCGAAGUCCUAAAGACGACGUAUACGGACUGACGCCUGCCCGGUGCUGGAAGGUUAAAAGGAGGGGUCAGCGCAAGCAAAGCUCCGAAUUGAAGCCCCAGUAAACGGCGGCCGUAACUAUAACGGUCCUAAGGUAGCGAAAUUCCUUGUCGGGUAAGUUCCGACCUGCACGAAUGGCGUAACGAUCUCCACACUGUCUCGGCCAGAGACUCGGUGAAAUUGCAGUCGCGGUGAAAAUUCCGUGUACCCGCAGAAAGACGGAAAGACCCUGUGCACCUUUACUAUAGCUUGA